UACGGAGGGUGCGAGCGUUGUCCGGAAUCACUGGGCGUAAAGGGCGCGUAGGCGGCCUGAUAAGUAGGGGGUGAAAUCCUGCGGCUUAACCGCAGGGCUGCCUUCUAAACUGUCGGGCUCGAGCACAGUAGAGGCAGGUGGAAUUCCCAGUGUAGCGGUGGAAUGCGUAGAGAUCGGGAGGAACACCGGUGGCGAAGGCGGGUCUCUGGGCAAUUCCUGACGCUGAGGCGCGAAAGCGUGGGGAGCAAACGGG
Molecule: ribosomal RNA, 253 nt
Filed under: uncultured bacterium
Lineage: Bacteria
Description: partial 16S ribosomal RNA
Rfam family: Bacterial small subunit ribosomal RNA
Source: RNAcentral